UGGAUGUGCCAAAUGCUACAGCUUCAAUUCUUUCUAAAAUCUCAAAAGGGCCAACAUAUCGAGGACUGAGUUUUUCAUAAACUCCAAAUCGCAUUACCCCUUUAGUGGGAGAUACUCUCAAAAAUAUAUGAUCUUUGAUCUGAAAUUCUAAUUCUCACCUCCUAUAAUCUGUAUAACUCUUCUAUCUACUUUGAGCUAUCUAAAGGCAUUCUCUGAUCAUCGAAUCUUUUCAACUAUGUCCGCUGAAUAAUCUAUGGGCCCAUUAAUUUUCUUUCACCCACAUCAUCCCAAC
This 292-nucleotide long non-coding RNA is filed under the name Elaeis guineensis (African oil palm). Its description in RNAcentral is "long non-coding RNA (EGUI_LNC002222)". Lineage: Eukaryota; Viridiplantae; Streptophyta; Magnoliopsida; Arecales; Arecaceae. The record is from RNAcentral.